UAGAAUGUGGUGUAGUGUGGUAGCACGGAGAAUUUUGAAUUCUCAGGGGU
RNAcentral lists this transfer RNA (50 nucleotides) under Camelus dromedarius (Arabian camel). RNAcentral describes it as "partial tRNA-Gln". Lineage: Eukaryota; Metazoa; Chordata; Mammalia; Artiodactyla; Camelidae. The record is from RNAcentral.